GCUCCGGUGGUCUAGUGGUUACAGCGUCCGCUUCGGAUGUGGGAGGUCAUUGGUUCGAUCCCCGGUUGAAUCA
Non-coding RNA from Potamilus streckersoni, 73 nucleotides. Lineage: Eukaryota; Metazoa; Mollusca; Bivalvia; Unionida; Unionidae. The record is from the annotation of a GenBank genome assembly.